Molecule: long non-coding RNA, 837 nt
Organism: Neofelis nebulosa (Clouded leopard)
Lineage: Eukaryota; Metazoa; Chordata; Mammalia; Carnivora; Felidae
Exons: 8
Source: RefSeq, a predicted model, not a curated record
CAUUGUGCUAGUGUUCCGAGCUCAGUGGACCCUGUUUGCCACGUUGCAGGAGCCUGCUGUGUCAACCAGAAAGCCAAGGGUUCAGUUGGCAGAGUCCUUUAAGUUGAAAAAGGUUACCCUGGAGUAAAAUCGACAGCAUGAAUUUACAAUGAAAGAUCAGCAUACACACGUGGGGAAAAAAAUCACCUUGAAGUCAGCAGAAACAGCCAAUUUAGACCUUUAAAGUCUUCAGCAAUUCCUUCAGUUAUGAACUUUGACCAGUUUUGGCACGAGAAGCACAAACAAAUUUGACAGAAAAGCACAUUCCAUGCUGCUUGAAGUGGGAGGAAAGAGGACUUACCCAUUAUUCAGCCUUUGCCUUCCUCCGGCUCCAGCCAAGACGUAUGUUUAUCGUGCUAGAACAACUCGGACCGUGAAGGAACACAGCCAGAGCUAGAGCAGCCUCUGCACCUCCAGGGAACUUGCUAGAAAUGCAGAUUCUCAGGCCCCAGCCCAGACCUACUGAAUCAGAAGCUCUGAGAGUGGAGUCCAGCAAUCUGUGUUUCAACAAGCGCAUGGUGGCUCGCUCCGAUGCCUGAUAAAGUUUGGGAACCACCCGCACCAAAGAAUAAAGGACUAACAACCAUAAGUAACAUCCUAGGUGAAAAUAAACAAACCAAAGAAGACAAAUGUACAAGUUCCAAAAAGAAAAAUCAAAAAACCAAACAGAGUGUUGGAGAAUCCCACAAAUCUCAGUCAGCCAGACUCAGACUGUGCUGGUUCCUCGCAUGAUGGCAGAAAAUGGGACAAGAACUCAGAACGUGUGUUGCCUGUGGCUGGAACCGUCAUCUCAUUGUC